Molecule: unclassified non-coding RNA, 1566 nt
Filed under: Leishmania donovani
Lineage: Eukaryota; Euglenozoa; Kinetoplastea; Trypanosomatida; Trypanosomatidae
Description: gene:LdHU3.04.0360(CDS-product:hypothetical_prote in_conserved)
Source: RNAcentral
AGCUGCUUUACCACCAGUCGCGUUGCCUUUCGCGCCAGGCUCUCGCUGCAGUGUGUUACUGUUGGACGAGGGUUGUGUGUUCUCUAUGCGGCUUCUGUCGCUGCUCUCUGCCCGCCUGUGACACGUGUGUGUAUGUGUGUGUGUGUGUGUGUGAGCCGUUGCCAACGUCUUCCUUCGGGUCUUUCCCUUUCAGGCAUUUUUCGGGUCGUGGCGCGGGGAGGUCACGCACGCAUCGCAUCGGUCCAGCGAGGGGAAAAAACAGCCAGACAGAGGGAAGGGGGCAGCGGUGCUUCGUCGAGGGACCGCGACAGAACCCGCUCGUGCUCUCUCCCCGUUCAGGUACUUCAGCAGUUGCGUUGUACGCACCCGACACAGACACCUAAGCACGCAUAUGUGCUCGCCAGUGUCAACACCUGCGGUGAGGACCCUUGACGGGGUGCGGUGUUGGACGGCUGCGGCGACCAGCAUGUGGCACUCGCGGCAUCGAUGUCCUCCCUGGUCCAACACCGUGUGUCAGCGCGGUGCCUGUGUCGGGCUCACAUUCGGUAGCUCCUUCAUGACCCCCGUCGCCGCCGUCGGCAGCAUGAGCACAAGUGGCGCACUCUGCGUGGCGUACCGUCACCAAGCCACAGACCAGUUCCACCGAUUCCUGCACAACCCACAUGUGGUGCAACCGGACGGGGUCGACGGACUGCCACGGGUUAAAGGUGAUCAGCAGCAAUGGCUCAACACGGAGCAGUGGCACGGGUACAGCGAUACGUAUUUGCAGCGGCACAUGCAGUACCCGGCCACCGUCGAACUGAACAACCCCGCCGUCAAUGCACGACACGACCUCCUCUACGAAUGUCUAGGACUUGUUUACGAGCUGUACGGUGGCCUCGCCGAGGAUCUGCAGGAGCUGCACGAUGACCCCCUUCACCCGCACUUCCACCGCCGCAUCGCCCGCAUCAAGCGCGACCGCGAGCGCAUCGCCGCCGAGCUCGACAAGCGCUACGCGAAACUGCAUCCAACGGUGAAGACGGUGUACGACGCGUUCCUCGUCCGUCGCUACUACCACCUCGCCGACUGGAUCGAGCAUGUUGAGCGGAAGCGAGAACGUCUCAUCAAUGACCUCAGCCCCGAUGUCAUGGAAAAGAGGAUGAGAAUGCGUGGCAUCGCAGAGCAGUACCUGCGACAUCUGCGUGUCCUCGAGUACGCGCUUUAUGAAGAUCCUCUUAUGGGCCUCCUCGAGGGUGAUCGGGACACGAACGUCCUCAAUCAGUAUACGCCUGGCGAGCUGGCGAUUCUGCGGCAGAAGGCGGCCUACUUCCGUAAGAUGCGCCGGUUCGGCGCGAAUCAACUAGACGCCGACCUGCACACGCACUGAAGCAUGGGCCCAGUCCACCCGAUAUGUGCCCCCGGUGUGGGGUACCCCCUGCAGCAGCCGCGUCCCGUCCGACAGCUCAUCACCACCACCGCCGCCACCACCCCCUGCCCUGCCUCAUCCUUCAGAAACCCACGCGCGAACAUCCCUCCAUACUCAUCAUUAUCUGGGCAUCGUCCUUUCCCUCCGACGAUCACCGCACC